This 939-nucleotide long non-coding RNA is filed under the name Neodiprion lecontei (redheaded pine sawfly). Its description in RNAcentral is "uncharacterized LOC107221663". The record is from RNAcentral. Lineage: Eukaryota; Metazoa; Arthropoda; Insecta; Hymenoptera; Diprionidae.
ACUACGCAGCGUGCGGCGCUCACUGCGACAGUCGGCUUCGUUGGUCCGGCACCUCGCGUGGUCGGGCUGUGAACACUGAUUGUGAAUUUGCACCAUUUCGCACACUGGGUACUGGUUCAGACCCAGUCUAGACCCGUCGGCCGCGAUUGACUCGGUGAAGGGUGUGCCGUCGUCUUCUUCUCCGUAUUCUUCGACAACCCAACUCGGUGACCGGCUCGCCUGCAAUUGUGCCGUUGAAACGAUAUGUUGAUGAUCAUUUUUUCCUUUCGUUAAUGAUAAAGUGAACCGUUCAUGCGUCGCGACGCGAUUACUUUCAGUCGCUAUUUAUUGUCAGAUAGGGAUGCUUGUUGACCUUGGUAGUUUGAACGUCUGGUUCUUUUACUUUGUUCAAUUUCAUCGUUUCUGUACGGAUGUAAGGUGUGCGUAUAAUAGUGUUGAAUUAUUCAAGUCGCUGUACGGAAUAUCAAGAUCGGCACGUCAAUGACACAUGAUAUUCACGUGUACCACACGUAGGAGUCAUGCUCCUGCGGGAUCAGUGUGUGGCAAGAAGCUGUUCGACUGAAGAGUUUUCGCAUCAGUUCUUCGGCUAGACGUAGCCGGACUUAACGUCGCGUUGUUAGAACGCUGAACGUUUAACAACAAGAGUUUUCCUCGCCGUUGGGAGCGUUAUUCGCAAAUUUUUCCGUGACCCGAGUCAGGCCAACGGUCAACGGUCAAGGAAAAAGAUUAUCGCCAUGGUGAAUUCAAUAACGCGACUGGCUGCAGCUGUAUUGUCUAUCGCUGCAUUUCUAGUCUCUGAAGCAGUAUCGUUUCAGAUGCACUGGAAGAAAACUGCACCGACUUCCAGGGUGGCACAGUUAGACAUGGCCUCCUCUACGUACCAGGUCCUGCGGUAUGCAGCUUGUGCGUUUGCUACCAUUCCGAGCCGAUGUGGUGCAA